Long non-coding RNA from Lolium rigidum, 529 nucleotides. RefSeq lists it as uncharacterized. Lineage: Eukaryota; Viridiplantae; Streptophyta; Magnoliopsida; Poales; Poaceae. The record is from RefSeq and is a predicted model, not a curated record. The transcript has 3 exons.
UUUCGGGCUGUCCAAGGUUUGCCGUCUGAUGAACACCACAGAUAGUUGCAUGGAGAUGGUGUGAAUUUCAGCUUGUUAUGCAAUUGGUUACAAGGCUUAUAAUUAGUUGUCACAUUUAGAAAAGAUGAGCUCAACAUCGAAAAUAGCAUCUUCUGUUUAUUAUUUGCUUGCCUGCCUCCAGCUCAUGGUAUUUUCCUAUGCAAUUGGUUACAGGACCCAUUUGAAUUCCAGUGUAUUUUUUACCAUGAGAAGCUGACAGCACAUGAUGUUGUGCAUUUCUUGUGUGGAACAUGAAGUAUAUAGAUAGAUCAUGUCCGUGGACUGAAAGCUCUCCUUCCACAGCUUUUCUAACCAAGAAAAGCAAGCACCCAUGAUCAAGAACCCCACCAUGCCAUUCUCCCAUCAGCUGACCGCACGACGCAUGCGGCUGGCCAAGUAUUCCCCCAUGGGACGAUGUGCUGAGGGUCUUCUUUGUUGUCGUCAUCUGCUGGCGGUCAAGGCCGGAGGACCCGAUGGGGACUACACGUGG